AUUGAAUGCUGGCGGCAUGCUUUACACAUGCAAGUCGAACGGCAGCGCGGGCUUCGGCCUGGCGGCGAGUGGCGAACGGGUGAGUAAUACAUCGGAACGUGCCCAGUAGUGGGGGAUAGCUCGGCGAAAGCCGGAUUAAUACCGCAUACGACCUGAGGGUGAAAGCGGGGGAUCUUCGGACCUCGCGCUAUUGGAGCGGCCGAUGGCCGAUUAGCUAGUUGGUGGGGUAAAGGCCUACCAAGGCGACGAUCUGUAGCUGGUCUGAGAGGACGACCAGCCACACUGGGACUGAGACACGGCCCAGACUCCUACGGGAGGCAGCAGUGGGGAAUUUUGGACAAUGGGCGAAAGCCUGAUCCAGCAAUGCCGCGUGUGUGAUGAAGGCCUUCGGGUUGUAAAGCACUUUUGGCGGGAACGAAAAGGACUGUGCCAAUACCACGGUUCGAUGACGGUACCCGCAGAAUAAGCACCGGCUAACUACGUG
RNAcentral lists this ribosomal RNA (484 nucleotides) under uncultured bacterium. RNAcentral's name for it is "partial 16S ribosomal RNA". It matches the Rfam family "Bacterial small subunit ribosomal RNA", at positions 29 to 507 of the family's 1533-position model. The record is from RNAcentral.